This 451-nucleotide ribosomal RNA is filed under the name uncultured bacterium. Its description in RNAcentral is "partial 16S ribosomal RNA". It matches the Rfam family "Bacterial small subunit ribosomal RNA", at positions 29 to 523 of the family's 1533-position model. The record is from RNAcentral.
AGCGAACGCUGGCGGCAGGCUUAACACAUGCAAGUCGAGCGGGCGUAGCAAUACGUCAGCGGCAGACGGGUGAGUAACGCGUGGGAACGUACCUUUUGGUUCGGAACAACACAGGGAAACUUGUGCUAAUACCGGAUAAGCCCUUACGGGGAAAGAUUUAUCGCCGAAAGAUCGGCCCGCGUCUGAUUAGCUAGUUGGUAGGGUAAUGGCCUACCAAGGCGACGAUCAGUAGCUGGUCUGAGAGGAUGAUCAGCCACAUUGGGACUGAGACACGGCCCACACUCCUACGGGAGGCAGCAGUGGGGAAUAUUGGACAAUGGGGGCAACCCUGAUCCAGCCAUGCCGCGUGAGUGAUGAAGGCCCUAGGGUUGUAAAGCUCUUUUGUGCGGGAAGAUAAUGACGGUACCGCAAGAAUAAGCCCCGGCUAACUUCGUGCCAGCAGCCGCCGUAA